AUGAACGCUGGCGGCGUGCUUAACACAUGCAAGUCGAACGAAGCACUUUAUUACGAUUUCUUCGGAAUGACGAUUUAGUGACUGAGUGGCGGACGGGUGAGUAACGCGUGGGUAACCUGCCUUAGUACAGGGGGGAUAACAGUUAGAAAUGACUGCUAAUACCGCAUAAGCGCACAGGAUUGCAUGAUCUGGUGUGAAAAAACUCCGGUGGUAUAAGAUGGACCCGCGUCUGAUUAGCUGGUUGGUCGAGGUAACGGCCCACCAAGGCGACGAUCAGUAGCCGACCUGAGAGGGUGACCGGCCACAUUGGGACUGAGACACGGCCCCAGACUCCUACGGGAGGCAGCAGUGGGGAAUAUUGCACAAUGGAGGAAACUCUGAUGCAGCGACGCCGCGUGAGUGAAGAAGUAAUUUCGUUAUGUAAAGCUCUAUCAGCAGGGAAGAUAGUGACGGUACCUGACUAAGAAGCUCCGGCUAAAUACGUG
RNAcentral lists this ribosomal RNA (485 nucleotides) under uncultured bacterium. Its description in RNAcentral is "bacterial SSU rRNA". It matches the Rfam family "Bacterial small subunit ribosomal RNA", at positions 29 to 507 of the family's 1533-position model. The record is from RNAcentral.